Molecule: ribosomal RNA, 2706 nt
Filed under: Cavernulicola chilensis
Lineage: Eukaryota; Rhodophyta; Bangiophyceae; Cavernulicolales; Cavernulicolaceae
Description: large subunit ribosomal RNA
Rfam family: Bacterial large subunit ribosomal RNA
Source: RNAcentral
UUAAAUAAAGCAUCUAGUGGAUACCUAGACAUAAGAAGCACUGAGGCGUCGCGCGACGAAACAUCAUACGUAGGCACAAGCCUGUGAGGUAUGAGUUCCUCUUAAGUAAAAACUUUUUGUAUACAAACAAGGUUACCCUGCGAAUUGAAACAUCUCAGUAGCAGGAGGAAAAAAAAUCAAACGAGAUUCCAUAAGUAGCGGUGAGCGAACAUGGACAUUAGACUUUCUAUAUGAUGGGGUCGGUGUGAAACAGCCGUAGAAGGUAAGAGCCCUGUAACACCCUCCUGAUUUAGAUAAUAAGUACUUUGGGACAACACGAAUCCCGUAGGAACACAGAAGGUCCACUUUCUAAGUCUAAAUACUUCUUAUGCUCGAUAGUGAACGAGUACCGUAAGGGAAAGGUGAAAAGAAAGGUUUAACCUAGGUCUGACCUUGAAACUGGAUGCUGACAAUCAGUUGGAGCCUCCUCUGGGGGGUGACAACGUACCUUUUGCAUAAUGGGUCGGUGACUAAAUAAGUGUAGCAAGCUAAAAUUGAAAAAUGGAAGCUGGCGGAAUAAAGUCCAACUCAAAAGUUACACUUGUUUAACUCGAAGCUAGGUGAUCUAGGCGAAAGCAGGCCGAAAUUGUGGUAAGACAUAAUGGAGGGCCGAACCCACAUAUGUGGAAAAAUAUUGGGAUGACUUUCGCUUAGGAGUGAAAGGCUAAUCAAACCUAGUGAUAGCUAGUUUUCCACGAAAUCUAUUUUAGUAGAGUCUUCCGUAAAUUUACUGCUGGUAAAGCACUGGAUGGACAAGGGUGGCUUAGCUUGACCGAGUCCAACUAAACUAUGAAUAGCAGUGAAACAUCACGAAGAAACAGACUUUAAGCGAUAAGGUUUAAGGUCAAGAGGGUAACAACCCAGACCGUUCAUUAAGGUCCCCAAAAGCAUGUAAGUUGAAAAGGAAGUUGGAGUAUAACGAGAUAGUAAGUAGGCUUAGAAGCAGCCAUCUAUUAAAGAACGCGUUAUAGCGCACUACUUUAUACUGCAGCGCCAAAGAUGUAACGGGUAUAAACAUGCUUACCGAUAUGACGGCUUCUAUCCCCUCCUGAGGGUAGAAGGGUAGUGGAACAUUCUGUUUAUAAAUAAGUAUUUUUGGAAAAAGGUAUGAAAAACCAGAAGUGAGAAUACCGACAUGAGUAGCGAAAACCAUGUUCUCAAAUCAUGGUCACCGUAAGCCCAAGGGUUUCUACGCAGUUUCAAUCGCGUAGAGUUAGCCAGCCUCUAAGGAAAAAGCGAAGGCUUUUUUUCGACGAGAAAGUUCUGUCUAGAACUGCCAUACGCGAGAAUUUAUAAGAGAAACCUUAUAAGACGAGAUUCCGCUAGGGAACUUCUUAUCAUGACAUGUAAGAAGUUUUUUGCGUAUCUACAGGAAACAAUCGCGUUUGUUCGAUGGCUGUACCCUAAACCGACACAGGUGGGCGAGUUGAACAUACUAAGGUGAGCGGGAUAACCAUACUGAAGGAACUCGGCAAAUUGAUCCCUUACGUUCGCAAGGAGGGAUGCCACGUAUGUACGUGGUGGCACAGAAUAAAGGAUGGCGACUGUUUAAUAAAAACACAGGACCUUGCAAACUUCAAUAAAGUAAGUAUAAGGUCUGACGUUUGCCAGGUGCUUGAAGGUUAACGAACAAGGUGUACGCCUUUGCAGUAAGCCCAAGUAAACGGCGGUCCUAACUAUAAGGAUCCUAAGGUAGCGUAACCCACUGGCGUAUAAUUUACGUCCCGCAUGAAUAACGUAACGACUAUCCUGCUGUCUCCAGUAUGGACCCGGCGAAAUUGAACUCUCCGUGCAGAUGCGGAGUACUUACAGCUAGACGGAAAGACCCCGUGAUUCUUUACUAUAGUUUUGUACUGUAGCUUACGCUAGAUCGUGUAGCAUAGGUGGGAGUUAUACAAUAGUUGUAACGCCUUUGAAAUACCACCCUAUAUAGCGCGAAAGUUACUCAUUUGCAAGCUUAGCAAAGACAGUGCAAGAUGGGUAGUUUAUUUGGGGCGAAUACCUCCUAAAGUGUAACGGAGGUGUGCUAAGGUAAGCUUGCAUUCGCACAAUAUGAAUGCUAAAGCGCAAUGGCAAAAGCUUGCCUGACAGUUGGAUAGAUAUAUACAACUGAGACGAAAGUCAGUCAUAGUGAUCCGGUGGUAUCCAGUGGAAAAACCAUCGCUCAACAGAUAAAAGAAACUCCGGGGAUAACAGCGUUAUCGUUCCUAAGAGUUCCUAUCGACGGAACGGUUUGCGACCUCGAUGUCGGCUCAUCAUAUCCUGGAGCUGCAGCAGGCUCCAAGGGUCCGGGUGUUCACCGGUUAAAAUGGUACGUGAGCUGGGUUUAGAACGUCGUGAGACAGUUUGGUCCCUAUCUACUGUAAGUGAAGAAAAUUGUAGAGUGCCAUUCUUAGUACGAGAGGAUUGGAAUGGGUCAACCUCUGGUGUAUUGGUUGUCGAGGUCAUGGCAUAGCCAAGUAGCCACGUUGGUAAGACAUAAGCGCUGAAAGCAUCUAAGCACGAAGGUGUCUCUAAUACAUAUUUUCGGGAGCACUCUAGAAGAACACUAGAUGGAUCGGUCCAUUGUAUAUCACUCGUGAGAGUGCAGGCAUAUGGAUACGAAGAUGCUCAAGAAUCUUAUUUCAUGUUUGAAAACGGAGGCUUCCGUUUUCAAAUAUGACCACA